RNAcentral lists this ribosomal RNA (1330 nucleotides) under uncultured bacterium. RNAcentral describes it as "bacterial SSU rRNA". It matches the Rfam family "Bacterial small subunit ribosomal RNA", at positions 28 to 1381 of the family's 1533-position model. The record is from RNAcentral.
GAUGAACGCUGACAGAAUGCUUAACACAUGCAAGUCUACUUGACUCUUCGGGUGAUGGUGGCGGACGGGUGAGUAACGCGUAAAGAACUUGCCCUGCAGUCUGGGACAACAUUUGGAAACGAAUGCUAAUACCGGAUAUUAUGCGAGAUUCGCAUGUUUCUCGUAUGAAAGCUAUAUGCGCUGCAGGAGAGCUUUGCGUCCUAUUAGCUAGUUGGUGAGGUAACGGCUCACCAAGGCGAUGAUAGGUAGCCGGCCUGAGAGGGUGAACGGCCACAAGGGGACUGAGACACGGCCCUUACUCCUACGGGAGGCAGCAGUGGGGAAUAUUGGACAAUGGACCAAAAGUCUGAUCCAGCAAUUCUGUGUGCACGAUGAAGUUUUUCGGAAUGUAAAGUGCUUUCAGUUGGGACGAAGUAAGUGACGGUACCAACAGAAGAAGCGACGGCUAAAUACGUGCCAGCAGCCGCGGUAAUACGUAUGUCGCAAGCGUUAUCCGGAUUUAUUGGGCGUAAAGCGCGUCUAGGCGGUUUGGUAAGUCUGAUGUGAAAAUGCGGGGCUCAACUCCGUAUUGCGUUGGAAACUGUCAAACUAGAGUACUGGAGAGGUGGGCGGAACUACAAGUGUAGAGGUGAAAUUCGUAGAUAUUUGUAGGAAUGCCGAUGGGGAAGCCAGCCCACUGGACAGAUACUGACGCUAAAGCGCGAAAGCGUGGGUAGCAAACAGGAUUAGAUACCCUGGUAGUCCACGCCGUAAACGAUGAUUACUAGGUGUUGGGGGUCGAACCUCAGCGCCCAAGCUAACGCGAUAAGUAAUCCGCCUGGGGAGUACGUACGCAAGUAUGAAACUCAAAGGGAAUUGACGGGGACCCGCACAAGCGGUGGAGCAUGUGGUUUAAUUCGACGCAACGCGAGGAGCCUUACCAGCGUUUGACAUCCUAGGAAGUUGGCAGAGAUGCCUUCGUGCCCCUUCGGGGGAACCUAGUGACAGGUGGUGCAUGGCUGUCGUCAGCUCGUGUCGUGAGAUGUUGGGUUAAGUCCCGCAACGAGCGCAACCCCUUUCGUAUGUUGCCAUCAUUAAGUUGGGAACUCAUGCGAUACUGCCUGCGAUGAGCAGGAGGAAGGUGGGGAUGACGUCAAGUCAUCAUGCCCCUUAUACGCUGGGCUACACACGUGCUACAAUGGGUAGUACAGAGAGUCGCUAACCUGCGAGGGGGAGCUAAUCUCAGAAAACUAUUCUCAGUUCGGAUUGUACUCUGCAACUCGAGUACAUGAAGUUGGAAUCGCUAGUAAUCGCAAAUCAGCUAUGUUGCGGUGAAUACGUUCUCGGGUCU